Molecule: transfer RNA, 75 nt
Filed under: Bradyrhizobium sp.
Lineage: Bacteria; Pseudomonadati; Pseudomonadota; Alphaproteobacteria; Hyphomicrobiales; Nitrobacteraceae
Description: tRNA-Gln
Rfam family: tRNA
About the family: Transfer RNA (tRNA) molecules are approximately 80 nucleotides in length.
Source: RNAcentral
UGGGGCGUCGCCAAGUGGUAAGGCAGUGGAUUUUGAUUCCACCAUUCGGAGGUUCGAUCCCUCCCGCCCCAGCCA